Molecule: long non-coding RNA, 372 nt
Organism: Panicum virgatum (switchgrass)
Lineage: Eukaryota; Viridiplantae; Streptophyta; Magnoliopsida; Poales; Poaceae
Exons: 3
Source: RefSeq, a predicted model, not a curated record
CGGAUGCUUUCAAAAAAGGUGUGCUACUAUUUCUUUAUAUUUGUCACUAAACUUACACGGGGCCCGAUAUGGGGGCCGAUGGCCGGCCUCGCCACCGUCGACGCGCGGCCCCACGGAGGCUCCCCUCACACUCCUUACACAGUCACGGGAAUUGCCAUUGGAGGAUUGCCUCUGGGAGUGGGGCUCCUGUUCUAGGUGCACAGCAGGUGUAUGAGUAAGCCUCGAGGAUUCAGAAGACACGGUUAUCACUUUAAUAGAACCUGUGGAACCCGGUGAAAUUGGGUUUGAGUUGGCAAUGCAAGCAGGGUUUAAGCGAUUUAUUUUUGUCGAGUUGGGAACUUGGGAUUCUAAGCACAUGUUCAGUCUUCUCGG